Molecule: ribosomal RNA, 600 nt
Filed under: uncultured bacterium
Lineage: Bacteria
Description: bacterial SSU rRNA
Rfam family: Bacterial small subunit ribosomal RNA
Source: RNAcentral
CCUACGGGAGGCAGCAGUGGGGAAUCUUGCGCAAUGGGCGAAAGCCUGACGCAGCAACGCCGCGUGCGGGAAGAAGGCUUUCGGGCUGUAAACCGCUUUCAGCAGGAACGAAAAUGACGGUACCUGCAGAAGAAGGAGCGGCCAACUAUGUGCCAGCAGCCGCGGUGAUACAUAGGCUUCAAGCGUUGUCCGGAUUUAUUGGGCGUAAAGAGUUCGUAGGCGGUCGAGUAAGUCGGGUGUGAAAAUUCUGGGCUCAACCCAGAGACGCCACCCGAUACUGCUUGACUUGAGUUCGAUAGGGGAGUGGGGAAUUCCUAGUGUAGCGGUGAAAUGCGCAGAUAUUAGGAGGAACACCGGUGGCGAAGGCGCCACUCUGGAUCGAUACUGACGCUGAGGAACGAAAGCAUGGGUAGCAAACAGGAUUAGAUACCCUGGUAGUCCAUGCCGUAAACGGUGGGCACUAGGUGUGGGUUUCUAUUAACGAAAUCCGCGCCGUCGCUAACGCAUUAAGUGCCCCGCCUGGGGAGUACGGUCGCAAGACUAAAACUCAAAAGUAGUAAGUGACCGNGUAGACGAGUCGACGACGCACCAGGAGGUAGG